This 76-nucleotide ribosomal RNA is filed under the name Chabertia ovina (large-mouth bowel worm). RNAcentral's name for it is "partial 28S ribosomal RNA". It matches the Rfam family "Eukaryotic large subunit ribosomal RNA", at positions 1 to 78 of the family's 3401-position model. The record is from RNAcentral. Lineage: Eukaryota; Metazoa; Nematoda; Chromadorea; Rhabditida; Strongylidae.
UGCAACCUGAGCUCAGUCGUGAUUACCCGCUGAACUUAAGCAUAUCACUUAGCGGAGGAAAAGAAACUAAAAUCUC